AUUGAUUCCAUUUCCAAACUAUUAUUCUAUGUGAAUAUAUAAUUUGGUAAUUAUAUGUAAAAAGGAGAUGCAGUAGGAUUGAAAUAGCUACAGUCAUAUAACUAUACUUUAAUUUCUGUAUCAAUCUUCCUGGGAGUUAUUUAUUCCCAAGCAUCAUUAAGGGGGGUUUAAUAUAUAGAGAGGGGGCUUAAUAUAUAGAGAGGGGGC
This is a non-coding RNA of Paramuricea clavata, 207 nucleotides long. Lineage: Eukaryota; Metazoa; Cnidaria; Anthozoa; Malacalcyonacea; Plexauridae. The record is from the annotation of a GenBank genome assembly.